UGUGCCCUACGGGAGGCAGCAGUGAGGAAUAUUGGUCAAUGGGCGGGAGCCUGAACCAGCCAAGUCGCGUGAGGGAAGACGGUCCUAUGGAUUGUAAACCUCUUUAGGCGGGGAGCAAUGCCGGGCACGUGUGCCCGGAGGGAGAGUACCCGCAGAAUAAGCAUCGGCUAACUCCGUGCCAGCAGCCGCGGUAAUACGGAGGAUGCGAGCGUUAUCCGGAUUUAUUGGGUUUAAAGGGUGCGUAGGCGGAUUUUUAAGUCAGCGGUAAAAUGUCCGGGCUCACACCGGGCCGGCGGUUGCAACUG
Molecule: ribosomal RNA, 305 nt
Filed under: uncultured bacterium
Lineage: Bacteria
Description: bacterial SSU rRNA
Rfam family: Bacterial small subunit ribosomal RNA
Source: RNAcentral